Molecule: long non-coding RNA, 1340 nt
Organism: Triticum dicoccoides
Lineage: Eukaryota; Viridiplantae; Streptophyta; Magnoliopsida; Poales; Poaceae
Exons: 3
Source: RefSeq, a predicted model, not a curated record
CUCCCGAUCCCAUCUCAACCUCCAGCUUCCAGCGCGUCGCCACCCUCCCCCCGUCGCAUGCGUCGCCACCGACGCCGCGGCCGUUGGCAGCUCCCCCGCUCAUGCUACUAUGGUGCCGCAAAGACAAACCAGAAUGCCUACGACCCCGACUCCCUCCCGCGCCGUCGCCGCCCUUUGCGGCACCACCCCGGCAGCCCCUACCACCGACGACCACCACAGGUCAUGGUCGACCGCGCCGCCGCCCAUGGUCGAUCCAAACGCCGCGGUGGAUAACGGGCUGCUGUGCUGAUGCACCGGGGUGUAGCGCAGCUCGGCGGCCUGGCUGUUUUGGUGGUGUUGGUCGCGGAGGACGGGGAACCAGUGGCAGGGAAGCCCAGCCUCUGCAUGCAAUGUCGACCUUAAUUAUAGAUGUUUCUGUGUUUGUUUUGGAUGAAGUGGACUGCUUGCUAGAGAGAGGAUUCAGAGAUUAGGCCAUGCAUAUCUUUGGCACGCUCUCAUGUCCACAGGUCAUGAUGUUUUCAGCAACAGUACAUUCAUAAAUUGUCAAACUCUGUCUUACACCAUGAUUGAUACAUGGAGUAUUUCUUGUGGGAACCUAGGUAAACCAAACAAAUCAAUUAGAGAAGUGGUAAUUUGGGUGGAGUCUAAGCAGAAGCAGAAGAUUUUUGAGAUAAUGAAGAGUAAGCAGUACUUCAAACCUCCUGCUGUUGUAUUUGUGAGUUCUAGAGUUGGUGAUCUCUUGUCUGAAGCAAUUACUGCUGCUACUGGGUUGGAGUAAGUUCCAUUCAGGAUGAGAAAGCAAUGAAAAAGAUAAGAGAAAGAUUGAGACGGUUUCUCACUGGAGAAGUAUCUGUUGUUGUUUGUACAAGGGUCUUGGGAUGUGGAAUGGAUCUUCUGAAACUACAUCAAGUUUUUGCUUGACAUGUCAAAUUCCAUUGAUGAAUAUAUUCACCAGUGACACAUUCAAGCAGUUGAGUUACAUUCAUAAAGGUGCUACUGCCAAGCCUGGAUUCGAUUGGAGAAUCCUCCAGUAGGAGCAGCGUCUGCCCACAACUGUUGUGGAUCGGGAAUGCAAGCCGGGUCGCCUCCACGUGGGCUAUUGUUGCAAGAAUGAUUGUUCAGCCACUGUCAGACUUUUGUGGUGUGCCCUGGCUGACAAACUGUGCUUUGCCAGCCUACUGGAGGGAAGGCAAGGUUCACCAAGGGAUGAUCCUUUCACCGGAAGGGUGAUUAAUUGUUGGGGAACAUAGUAUUUCAAAAUUUUCCUAUGAUCACGCAAGAUCUAUCUAGAAGAAGCAUAGCAGCGAGCGGGGAGAGUGUGUCCAUGUACCCUCGUAGAC